Molecule: ribosomal RNA, 357 nt
Filed under: Triticum aestivum (bread wheat)
Lineage: Eukaryota; Viridiplantae; Streptophyta; Magnoliopsida; Poales; Poaceae
Description: partial small subunit ribosomal RNA
Source: RNAcentral
AUGCAGGGUGGUAUCUGGCCAUUCAGGCCUAGCGAUUCAAGGUCAAGUGCUGUGACGCGAGAUGCGUGCUUCUUGCCACAGGUGACACCGGGCCAGCUGCAAUACUGGAGGGUAUUGUUCCAUGAGGCGAGGGCUUUGGUAUUGUUAGAAAGGUGGUUCUUGAGACAAAGGAGUGCCUGGAAGUCCCUACUGGAUUCGUCACCCAGCAUGGUGCCAUCUAAUGAAGAAGCAGGGGCAAAAGAGGUCAAGAAAGUGAGGAGGGCGGUGACUGUGAAGAGUGAUGAACUGAGAGUCCCUACAGCUACAGGAUAUUUGUGCUACCACGGUUGUGUAUGUUGCUACCGAGUUGUGCAGUAG